GGAAGCUGGGCUGCAGUUACAGCUGGUCGCCCCAUGUGUCUCCAUCACUGUGAGGACUGACACACUGCUGGCUUUUUGAGCAUCCUAGUAUGAGCAGCACAGCAGCCCUUGUAAUCCCAGCCUAGGAGGGGGACGUUCGCAUCCCUGUCAUCAGGAGUCUGGAUCUGUCACACAGCUGCCCCAGCAUGUAAUGUCUGCUGUAUGCAUCUACAAGGAAGUUUUUCACAACUUUUUGGAAUGAUUACCAUGCAGCUGCCUCAGACUCGUACAAGCUUCUCAGAAAAUCUUCAUCCUUCAUGAGCUCUUGUACAGUAUUUGUGGUACAACAAAUACCUCCUUUUGAUUUUUGUUUUACUUAUUCUAGGAAACUGUCUCUUUAUGGCUCAUACGGUUUCAUCAUAUAUGCAGCAGAUUUAUCUACUUUAUUUUCUGCUUAUACAUAAAUAAAUGAUUUAUAGGGAAUGGCUAA
Pseudophryne corroboree (corroboree frog) is the source of this 469-nucleotide long non-coding RNA. RefSeq lists it as uncharacterized. The record is from RefSeq and is a predicted model, not a curated record. NCBI's taxonomy places the organism in Eukaryota, Metazoa, Chordata, Amphibia, Anura, Myobatrachidae. The transcript is spliced from 2 exons.